UGCAGUCGAACGGUAACAGCGAGAGCUUGCUCUCGGCUGACGAGUGGCGGACGGGUGAGUAAUGCUUAGGAAUCUGCCCAGUAGCGGGGGACAACUCGGGGAAACUCGAGCUAAUACCGCAUACGCCCUACGGGGGAAAGCAGGGGAUCUUCGGACCUUGCACUAUUGGAUGAGCCUAAGUCAGAUUAGCUUGUUGGUGGGGUAACGGCCUACCAAGGCGACGAUCUGUAGCUGGUCUGAGAGGACGAUCAGCCACACUGGAACUGAGACACGGUCCAGACUCCUACGGGAGGCAGCAGUGGGGAAUAUUGCACAAUGGGCGCAAGCCUGAUGCAGCAAUGCCGCGUGUGUGAAGAAGGCCUGCGGGUUGUAAAGCACUUUCAGUAAGGAGGAAAAGUUGUAGGUUAAUACCCUGCAGCCUUGACGUUACUUACAGAAGAAGCACCGGCUAACUCUGUGCCAGCAGCCGCGGUAAUACGGAGGGUGCGAGCGUUAAUCGGAAUUACUGGGCGUAAAGCGUGCGUAGGCGGCAUGGUCAGUCGGAUGUGAAAGCCCCGGGCUUAACCUGGGAAUUGCAUUCGAUACUGCCAAGCUAGAGUAUGUUAGAGGAAAGUGGAAUUCCCGGUGUAGCGGUGAAAUGCGUAGAUAUCGGGAGGAACAUCAGUGGCGAAGGCGACUUUCUGGAUCAAUACUGACGCUGAGGUACGAAAGCGUGGGGAGCAAACAGGAUUAGAUACCCUGGUAGUCCACGCCCUAAACGAUGUCAACUAGCCGUUGGAGGAUUUAAUCCUUU
This 793-nucleotide ribosomal RNA is filed under the name uncultured bacterium. RNAcentral describes it as "bacterial SSU rRNA". It matches the Rfam family "Bacterial small subunit ribosomal RNA", at positions 56 to 841 of the family's 1533-position model. The record is from RNAcentral.